UACAGAGGGUGCGAGCGUUGUUCGGAAUUACUGGGCGUAAAGCGCGUGUAGGCGGUUCGAUAAGUCAGAUGUGAAAUCCCGGGGCCUAACUCCGGAAGUGCAUUUGAAACUGUCGAGCUGGAGUGAUGUAGAGGAUGGCGGAAUACCCAGUGUAGUGGUGAAAUACGUAGAGAUUGGGUAGAACACCGGUGGCGAAGGCGGCCAUCUGGGCAUUAACUGACGCUGAGACGCGAAAGCGUGGGGAGCAAACAGG
Molecule: ribosomal RNA, 253 nt
Filed under: uncultured bacterium
Lineage: Bacteria
Description: partial 16S ribosomal RNA
Rfam family: Bacterial small subunit ribosomal RNA
Source: RNAcentral